CGCGACGCCGGCUUACUGACCGCAGUCCCUCGCUACCGCCAGACCGCUUCGCUUGUUCGCGACGCUUCUCAAACCAGUCAGUGUCUUGUAUCGAGGCGUGUUUAUUACAACUAAAUACCUACUACUUACUCUCUCUUAUCUACUACUACUAUCAAAUACCAGCGUCGAUUACUAACAACCAAACGACGACGACGACUACUCUGCUACGUCUCGAGGCUAUAAGUACGAACAGUCGUAGCAAGACACGGGGCUCGCUUGAUUCGGACCAACAACAUGCGUUAGCUUCUGACAGAAAACAGCCGCUUAGCUUCGCAACCUGCUUUUCCGCUAACUGACCACUGUCAGACUCUAGGAGCACUUGUUGCUAGUCCUCUCGCCUGUACCACGACCAACAAAACAAUUAAACCAACCAACCCCUAUUACUGUUGAACUUUAUAAGUACUACUACCUACGUAUUGCAACGGUGAUCUCGUUUAGUUCCAUUCACUAGUACAUACACACAUACACACAAACACACGCAUAUUUUGUGCCAUAAUAUUAGCGCUUAUAUACCAAUAUCGAACUCUCUUCCCCUCCAAAUAACAGUAAUCGCCACUGCUCCUUCAAUUUCAACUGUAAAACUACCGACAGUCUCACGAAUAAAAUAAAAAAGGAUGGACAAUAAUUCUACCUGAUCGUAGCGCCGCAUAAUCCUAUUAUUCUAAAAUCCAAAGUUCGUGCUGCUCUCCGUAAAA
Agrilus planipennis (emerald ash borer) is the source of this 734-nucleotide long non-coding RNA. RefSeq lists it as uncharacterized. NCBI's taxonomy places the organism in Eukaryota, Metazoa, Arthropoda, Insecta, Coleoptera, Buprestidae. The record is from RefSeq and is a predicted model, not a curated record. The transcript is spliced from 2 exons.